This 403-nucleotide ribosomal RNA is filed under the name uncultured bacterium. Its description in RNAcentral is "partial 16S ribosomal RNA". It matches the Rfam family "Bacterial small subunit ribosomal RNA", at positions 28 to 526 of the family's 1533-position model. The record is from RNAcentral.
GACGAACGCUGGCGGCGUGCCUAAUACAUGCAAGUCGAACGCAGUGGGGACGGGUGAGUAACACGUGGGUAACCUCCCAUCAGAGGGGAUAACACUUGGAAACAGGUGCUAAACCGAUACUGAUGGAUGAACCCGCGGUGCAUGUGGUAGUUGGUGAGGUAACGGCUCACCAAGGCCACGAUGCAUAGCCGGCCUGGGGGGGUGGACGGGCACAAUGGGACUUGGGAACGGCCCAGAAUCCUACGGGGGGCAGCAGGAGGGAAUCUUCGGCAAUGGGCGGAAGGCUGACCGAGCAACGCCGCGGGAGUGAAGAAGGGUUUCGGAUCGUAAAACUCUGUUGUGAGAGAAGCGGUAACGAACCAGAAAGGAACGGCUAACUACGUGCCAGCAGCCGCGGUAAUAC